UUGCGCUGAAUGAGAUUUUAACACGAAGUGAGUGGCGGACGGGUGAGUAACACGUGGGUAACCUGCCCAGAAGCAGGGGAUAACACCUGGAAACAGAUGCUAAUACCGUAUAACAGAGAAAACCGCCUGGUUUUCUUUUAAAAGAUGGCUCUGCUAUCACUUCUGGAUGGACCCGCGGCGCAUUAGCUAGUUGGUGAGGUAACGGCUCACCAAGGCGAUGAUGCGUAGCCGACCUGAGAGGGUAAUCGGCCACAUUGGGACUGAGACACGGCCCCGACUCCUACGGGAGGCAGCAGUAGGGAAUCUUCCACAAUGGACGCAAGUCUGAUGGAGCAACGCCGCGUGAGUGAAGAAGGGUUUCGGCUCGUAAAGCUCUGUUGUUAAAGAAGAACGUGGGUGAGAGUAACUGUUCACCCAGUGACGGUAUUUAACCAGAAAGCCACGGCUAACUACGUGCCAGCAGCCGCGGUAAUACGUAGGUGGCAAGCGAUUAUCCGGAUUUAUUGGGCGUAAAGCGAGCGCAGGCGGUCUUUUAAGUCUA
Molecule: ribosomal RNA, 541 nt
Filed under: Pediococcus acidilactici
Lineage: Bacteria; Bacillati; Bacillota; Bacilli; Lactobacillales; Lactobacillaceae
Description: bacterial SSU rRNA
Rfam family: Bacterial small subunit ribosomal RNA
Source: RNAcentral